UGUAGCGUGGCCGAGCGAUCUAAGGCGCUGAUGUAAGGCACCAGUGUCUUCGAAGGCGUGGAUUCGAAUCCAACCGCUGCCA
Molecule: non-coding RNA, 82 nt
Organism: Eumeta japonica
Lineage: Eukaryota; Metazoa; Arthropoda; Insecta; Lepidoptera; Psychidae
Source: the annotation of a GenBank genome assembly